Molecule: ribosomal RNA, 441 nt
Filed under: uncultured bacterium
Lineage: Bacteria
Description: partial 16S ribosomal RNA
Rfam family: Bacterial small subunit ribosomal RNA
Source: RNAcentral
CCUACGGGAGGCUGCAGUGGGGAAUAUUGGGCAAUGGAGGAAACUCUGACCCAGCAACGCCGCGUGAAGGAUGAAGGUUUUCGGAUUGUAAACUUCUGUUGCGAGGGAUGAAGAAUGACGGUACCUCGUGAGGAAGCCCUGGCAAACUACGUGCCAGCAGCCGCGGUAAUACGUAGGGGGCAAGCGUUGUCCGGAAUGACUGGGUGUAAAGGGAGCGUAGACGGUGAUGUAAGUCUGGAGUGAAAGGCGGGGGCCCAACCCCCGGACUGCUCUGGAAACUAUGUGACUGGAGUGCAGGAGAGGUGAGCGGAAUUCCUAGUGUAGCGGUGAAAUGCGUAGAUAUUAGGAGGAACACCAGUGGCGAAGGCGGCUCACUGGACUGUAACUGACGUUGAGGCUCGAAAGCGUGGGGAGCAAACAGGAUUAGAUACCCUGGUAGUC